This 408-nucleotide ribosomal RNA is filed under the name uncultured soil bacterium. RNAcentral's name for it is "bacterial SSU rRNA". It matches the Rfam family "Bacterial small subunit ribosomal RNA", at positions 26 to 407 of the family's 1533-position model. The record is from RNAcentral.
AGAGUGAACGCUGGCGGCAGGCCUAACACAUGCAAGUCGAACGGCAGCACAGGGGAGCUUGCUCCCUGGGUGGCGAGUGGCGGACGGGUGAGGAAUGCGUCGGAAUCUGCCUUUUCGUGGGGGAUAACGUAGGGAAACUUACGCUAAUACCGCAUGCGACCCUGUUCCGGGAGGAUCAGGGUGAAAGCGGGGGACCUUCGGGCCUGCGCGGAAAGAUGAGCCGACGCCGGAUUAGCUAGGUUGGCGGGGUAACGGCCCACCAAGGCGACGAUCCGUAGCUGGUCUGAGAGGAUGAUCAGCCACACUGGAACUGAGACACGGUCCAGGACCUCCGUACGGGAGCAGCAGUGGGAAUAGUUGGACAAGUGGGCGCAAGGCCUAGACUCCGAGCCCAUCGCCGCGUGGAGU